UUUAUCUCUUUUGGUCCGAAAUUUUCUAAAUCUAAAGCUAUGCUUCUUUUUUUUUUAACUUAAAAAUAUUUCUUUUUAAGACUAGACUUGAUAUAUAAAGCUGUUAAUUUGUUCCCAAAGUGAAUGAAUGGGCAUUUUUUUUGUUCUUGGGCUAAGCCCAGAAAACCCUAACCGAACCCGAACCCCAACUCACCCGACCCAAAACCCGAUUCCCAUUGUCUCUGUGCUUCCAUGGCUGCCACAAGCUGACCACGGUGGUUCCCUCUUCCGGCUGAUCAUCGGUUCUGGAUCAAGGUUUGAUGCGGCUGAACAAAUCCGAUAAGGUCUCUCCGCCGCAGAGGAUGAAGGAUAACUCCUCACUACCGUGCUUCGGCGGCUAUCUCCUUCUGCUACACCAGCUCCGUUUCUGGGAUCUUGCUCCCACUGCUAUGUUCGAAGGACCAUUCAUGUUGUCUAAUAUUGUCUAAUUUGAAGUUCCUUGUUGAUCCAGAUAGAAUCUUGCUAUCACUCUUCCUUAUCACUCCAUUUUCUCUAUUGAAGGAUUCAUCUAUACGGUGGUGGCCUCCAAGUAAUUUGCUUCUUGUUUCUCUUCAUUUUUGCUUCUUUUACUUUCUCUUCCUGUUUUAUUGAUUUCCUGAAUUCUGCUUCUUUGAUACUUGCCAUAAUAAUUGUUGCUUUUGGGCUGAUUUGUUGUAGUUCCUAACUUUUCAUAUAGACCAAUUUAUAAAUCCUAAACUGUUUAUCC
Long non-coding RNA from Arachis ipaensis, 745 nucleotides. RefSeq lists it as uncharacterized. NCBI's taxonomy places the organism in Eukaryota, Viridiplantae, Streptophyta, Magnoliopsida, Fabales, Fabaceae. The record is from RefSeq and is a predicted model, not a curated record.